CUGACCAUAUCCUUCUUAAGUGUUUAAUUGUUGUUGCUUUGUUUGGGUUUUUUUCUCUCCUUUUGGGAGCAGAAGGAAAAGCUACUGGUGAUGGCAGAGAAGCAGGGAAGUACACAGUGCUGAAGCAAUCCAGUGUACUCCCUAGACUGACCAUUCACAUCUGAUGCAAUUCUACACAACCACCUCUGCAGAACCCAAGAGAAUGACUAUUUCUGUCUGCCUUCGCACAGCCCAUAUCACUGGCAUAUCUCAAUAGUUCAAACAGGUCUUUACAUGUGCUAGCUCUAACUCACAUGAUGCCGACGUGCCUGAAACCCUUUCCUGUCCUAAACACGGAUGGCAUCUGUUCAGGCAUGUAAUCCCAGAUCUUUCCUGUUCCGAAGGAUACCCUGAAUUUUCAUCUGGCAGUUAUAUCCAAUUACUGACAUAACUAAUAGUCACAACUGAAUGCCACCAAAUGAGUUUCAUGUGUUUUCAACCUGUUUCUGCUUCUGACCCAGGAAACGAGCAUGCCCCUCAACUGCCCAUGUGAAACACAAUCCACAUCCAAUCUAAAUUGACAUUACUCUUGAUUUACUGUGACUAGUCAAUAAAAAGGGGCUGCCAAAAUCAA
Molecule: long non-coding RNA, 613 nt
Organism: Pezoporus occidentalis (night parrot)
Lineage: Eukaryota; Metazoa; Chordata; Aves; Psittaciformes; Psittacidae
Exons: 2
Source: RefSeq, a predicted model, not a curated record